This 497-nucleotide ribosomal RNA is filed under the name uncultured bacterium. Its description in RNAcentral is "partial 16S ribosomal RNA". It matches the Rfam family "Bacterial small subunit ribosomal RNA", at positions 31 to 507 of the family's 1533-position model. The record is from RNAcentral.
GAGGAAAGCUGGCGGCGUGCCUAAUACAUGCAAGUCGAGCGAACAGACGAGGAGCUUGCUCCGCUGACGUGAGCGGCGGGCGGGUGAGUAACACGUGGAUAACCUACCUGUAAGAGGGGGAUAACUUGGGGAAACGGGAGCUAAUACCGGAUGAGAUCUUGAAGCGCGUGGUGGGAUGGUGAAAGACGGUUGUGGGGGCAGGUAUAGAUGGAUCUGCGCCGCAUUAGCUAGUUGGUAAGGUAACGGCUUACCAAGGCAAGGAUGCGUAGGCGAGCUGAGAGAGUGAUCGGCCACACUGGAACUGAGCCACGCUCCAGACUCCUACGGGACGCAGCAGUAGGGAAUCUUCCGCAAAGGUCGAAAGCCUGACGGAGCAACGCCGCGUGAGUGAUGAAGGUCUUCGGAUCGUAAAACUCUGUUAUUAGGGAAGAACAAAUGUGUAAGUAACUAUGCACGUCUUGACGGUACCUAAUCAGAAAGCCCCGGCUAACUACGUG